GGNNNNCGGNUAACUCCAACCCAUGUGACCAUACCAAACUGUUGCCUCGGCGGGGUCACGCCCCGGGUGCGUCGCAGCCCCGGAACCAGGCGCCCGCCGGAGGGACCAACCAAACUCUUUUCUGUAGUCCCCUCGCGGACGUUAUUUCUUACAGCUCUGAGCAAAAAUUCAAAAUGAAUCAAAACUUUCAACAACGGAUCUCUUGGUUCUGGCAUCGAUGAAGAACGCAGCGAAAUGCGAUAAGUAAUGUGAAUUGCAGAAUUCAGUGAAUCAUCGAAUCUUUGAACGCACAUUGCGCCCGCCAGUAUUCUGGCGGGCAUGCCUGUCCGAGCGUCAUUUCAACCCUCGAACCCCUCCGGGGGGUCGGCGUUGGGGACCUCGGGAGCCCCUAAGACGGGAUCCCGGCCCCGAAAUACAGUGGCGGUCUCGCCGCAGCCUCUCCUGCGCAGUAGUUUGCACAACUCGCACCGGGAGCGCGGCGCGUCCACGUCCGUAAAACACCCAACUUCUGAAAUGUUGACCUCGGAUCAGGUAGGAAUACCCGCUGAACUUAAGCAUAUCAAUAAGCCGGAGGAA
Molecule: ribosomal RNA, 576 nt
Filed under: uncultured Trichoderma
Lineage: Eukaryota; Fungi; Ascomycota; Sordariomycetes; Hypocreales; Hypocreaceae
Description: eukaryotic LSU rRNA
Rfam family: 5.8S ribosomal RNA (bases 183-336)
Source: RNAcentral